Pelobates cultripes (western spadefoot toad) is the source of this 283-nucleotide non-coding RNA. NCBI's taxonomy places the organism in Eukaryota, Metazoa, Chordata, Amphibia, Anura, Pelobatidae. The record is from the annotation of a GenBank genome assembly.
GUUUAUUUCUCUUCAUCUAUGAUUCCACUUCAGCUGAUUUAGACAUAAUUUACAAUUCCAAACUUUAUGGUUAAAUUUAUCAUCAAAAUGGGACAGACCAUGAAAUUUCACACAUUAGGACAAUUUUGGGAAUUACAAAAUAUCCUAUUUUUUUAAUGGACUAUUCUGAUCUUAAAAUGUUUAAUUUCCUGCUCUAUACCCAAUUGCUGGAUUGGAGGGGGGAAAAACUGUAAAUUAACGUUAUUACAAUAACUGUCAAUGCACUCGGCAAUGAUGUACUUAU